This 3845-nucleotide long non-coding RNA is filed under the name Gallus gallus (chicken). Lineage: Eukaryota; Metazoa; Chordata; Aves; Galliformes; Phasianidae. The record is from RNAcentral.
GCCUUUCAGGUCUGAAACAGAGUCCAUGAAGUCAAAGAGCACACAACACUGCUGCAACUUCUGACAAAAAAGAUCUUGCUGUUCAUUGGAGGUGGCAUCUUUGAGCUGGGGCAGCGGCGAGAGCUCCACCUGGCUGCUCUGGCUGCGGAACUGCGAGGAGCCCUGCGAGCGCUUCUGCCUCUGAGCCUUGCGCACCGAUUUCCGUGUGAAGCCAUCCACUUUCUCCGCGGCAGAGAUGGCCGCCGACAUGGCUGGGCGGUGAGGCGGCGCGGGGGGACGUCGCUCUCCAGAAGCAUAUAUUAAAGCGGAGGGAGAAGCGGGCGGGCAAAAAAUGGGGUUCGGGAGGAAGGAGAAAAAAAUAAAAAUAAAAGAUAAAGGAAAAAAAUAGAAAAAGAAAAGCUUGCUGCCCCCGCGCACAGCCCGGGACUGGGGCGGCCGCCCGAGGGGACGCGCUCCGUGCUCCCGAGCCUCCUGGAUCCGGGCUGCGCCCGGCUCCCGAGUUCCUGCUUCCCUCGCAAUUUCCUCCCCGCGCCGAGCCGGCUCCAGGGGAGGCGGGGGGGAGCGGAAGGGGGGAGGAAAAGGAAAAACAAACAAACAAACCCGACGGCAACUUUGCCCGGCGGGGCGGGCGCUCGCCAAACUUUCCGGCGAGCGGGCGGGCGGCCGCUCUCCUCCUCAGGGCCGGACCCGCCGCCCGCCCGGCUCAGCCCGCUGCCGCCUGCCUCGCUCUCUCCUCGGCCGCCUCAGCGCCGAUCCCGCUGUCAUCGGCCGGACUACCCCGCGCCGCGCCGCCCGGGGAGGCUGCUCCCACCCCCCGCUCUCCGGUCGCUCGCUUCCACACGCCCCUUCUCCGCCUUCAACCGCCGCCGGGGGCCCCCCGCGCCUCCGCCGUCAUGCUGCCUCCCGCCGCUCCGCCACGGCCCGCGAGCGGCUCCGCAACUCGGGUAAACGGAGCGAAGCCGAAGGGAAAGAGGGAAAAGCGCCGACGGGGCGAGAGAGAGCGCGAGGAGCGGCCGUUGCUGCGGGGUGAUUGACGGUACCGAACGGCCAAUGAAGAGAAAGAAUCGUGGAAGCCCCGCCCUCCAGGCCUGAGGGUGGGGAGGACGCGACGAGCAGCGCGUGAUUGACAGCAGGCUCCUCCAACCGACAGCGGGCGGCGGGGUGGGCGCGGUUUCCCUCGGCGACAUAAAUACUAGGGAAGGGGAAGGGGCGGGGAGCUGCGGGGCGGCCUUCGGCCAAUCCGCGCAGGGGGCGGCCGUCGAUCGGGGCCGUUGGGCGCGGGGCGCCGCAGCCGUUUCUGCGGAUCGUGCGCCGCGGAGUUCCGGCGGUGCCGGCUCCGUUUCUGGGGGGCGGCCGCGAUCCUGGGCCGGAGCUCUCUGUCCGGCUCCCGCAAGCGUCCCGGUCCCCGGGGCUUCUUGCUGCGGCUCGGGUUGAUGAGGGGAGCGCGGAGCCCGUGCCGGCUCCCAGCUGCUCGGGAGCGCGUCAGCUGCGCUUCGUCCUUCCCGGGAGGCCCUCGGCAGCCGCGUGCGGAUAUGCUCCUCGCGGGGGAAACUGCUGUGAGGGGGUUUGUUUCACCGCCAGCGGCGCGCGCGGAGUUCCGGCAGCACUCAGCGUGCUGUGCUGUGCUGCGCUGUGAUCGCGGCGCUCCGAACUUUGUUCUCACACCCUUCUCGCGCCGCGGCGGCUACGCGCUGCCUUACGCCUCCGGGUCAGCUUGGCUGCCGCGGGUGCGCGCUGCCGUGGUGGUGUUUCUCUCACGCGGAGUCGCGGUGUGGAUGAGCAGGCUGCGAAGCACGAGUUAUCCGCGACGCGUGCUUAACCUCCUAGGGGUGACUGGUUAGGGAGUUGCCAAGUGCUCUGUCCUGUUGGCUCGGGGAGGAUGCUGAGAGGCUUGUGGGCUGCAGGGAUGGAGCCUGACACAGAGGGUGCCGGUGGGGCCAGGGCAGAGAAAUCUGAGAGACUUCGAUCUUCCUGCACGACAAAAUAGGACGCUGAGCUGAGGGUAAAACUUUGGCGUCUCUGUUACAGUGCGUUUCAAGAAGUAAGAAUGCAGCACCGCUCAUGUGGUUCAAGGUGAAGCUCAGCCGUAAGCAGCAAGCAUGUGAAAUGGCGUGCAGCACGAAGGUGAGCUGCCCAGGCCCAUUUCCAGCUGUGAACAGCCCGGCUUUUGAACUGCAAAUGUGUGGGAUGCCUUGGCUUGUAGUCAUGUGGGCGCAGAGGAGCUUCACACACAUCAGCAUGUUUCCUAAGUGUAAUUCUAGGUACCAAUUUGACAAGUGAGCACCUAAAAAUCACAGAUGCUACAGUCUCAGUAAUUUCAGGAGGAUGUAAAUACUGUCAGGUAUGUUUAAGUGCUUUCACGAGGUGGAGCUUAAAUAGUGUAUAGAAUCCAUAAACCAAAAGCCACAUGUAGCCUUAUGUGAACGCAGAGGAAGGCAGAUUUGCAGCCUCCUCAAUAGAAACCGUUGGCUGUAUUUCCUUUGCUCAUUUUUUUUCCCUUCUCACUUCCUCUGUCAGAACCAUUUCUAUUAAUGAUAUCUAUCUUCUAAGUGUAUAGACUUUAAACUGCCAACUCACUCUUUGUAGUAGAGGAAAUCCUUGCGUUCCUUACCUGGUGGAUUCUCACUCUGCUCUGUGGCCCAUAGCUCCUAUGCAGGCAGCACUAAGGGACAGACCCUGCGUGUGUUCCUCUGUUCCUGCCUGCCCUCCAACAGCUGUCAUUUGCUUCUGCACCCAUUUUUAGAAAGUGACAGGGUCCCGUGUGUCCUGUACGCUGUUUAUUGGCAACUCGACCCUUGCUGCCUGUUCCCAAUAUUAAAGUGCCUACCUUAAAGCUUUAUCGAUUAAAUAGUUUCAAAGUGGUUAAUGAGAAGUUCUGUACAGGUUCUGAGCAACAUCAAAAAUGUCUUCUGAGAUUUAAAGUAUUUUCUCCAAGGCUUUGGGACGGUUGCCAUGUUGUUUGAAACAGUGUGGUAAAACAUUGGCAAUUUAAGUUUCUGAUGCAAAGCCCUAAGUAAAUAGAAGGUAUAGCCCUGCAACGAUGAGAUUUUCAUACCAGUUGCGCUGCGAAAUGCUUUCAGGUUGUUUCUUCAUUUGUCACUGUUAUCAUGUAAGAAAUAUCAAUGAAAUCUGAGUCAGCCAAACAAAAAAUAAACUGCUUUAUUGUCUCAAAUAAAUGAGAAGUGCUUUUAGCUAUUGAGUUUCCUGAUGUCUCUUUAAUGAAAUUCUUCUGUUUGGGGGGAAAAAAAAAAAGUAUGUGUGAGCAUCAGCUCUAUGGACCAAACUGAAAAGGUAUUAUUAGAAUUGAUGAAUGCUUCAAGAAAGUGGAAGUACAUGGUUGCGUGAGGCCACAUGAACAAAAAGGCCUGUGAAUUGUGUGUUUGGGGUGAAGGAAAAAAUGGCAGAAAGCUGUGGCUGGCAGUCUGAAAUAGCUGCACUUGAGAAGGCUGCAGAUUACCUUUCCCUGCUUUCUGCGCUUACUGCUUCCUACACAGCUGUCUGAACCGCUUCUGAGUCAGCUUCUGAACCCCAUGAUUUCUAGACUGUAUUUAAGGCAUACAGCAAUGAUGCCAGGUUAUAAGCCGCUGGCUCCAAAUCUAAUUCAUAAAAGUCUGUGGUGUCCGCAGUGAAUGUUGUGAAUAGUAAUUUUAUGCCAAGCUGUUCCUGCUCUUCAAUCAGAGCCUUCAAUAUGCACAGAAGCACUGAUUCUGCAAAACCUUAUAUGUGUAUCUAACUUUACUUAGAAGAAAAUUCAUCAUCACUUGCGAUCCUUAUUCAAAACAGAGAUGCAGCGUUUUAGAACAGAUUUAAUGAGAAGUCACAUUUGCAGUUCUUUUCAUUCAGCC